This is a long non-coding RNA of Syzygium oleosum, 236 nucleotides long. RefSeq lists it as uncharacterized. The transcript is spliced from 2 exons. NCBI's taxonomy places the organism in Eukaryota, Viridiplantae, Streptophyta, Magnoliopsida, Myrtales, Myrtaceae. The record is from RefSeq and is a predicted model, not a curated record.
AAUCGUGCAUCUUCUUCCCCCCUCUUUUAUCUCUUUCCUUCCUCGCCGGUGAUCUUUUCAACAGAUCAAGAAGAGAGAGAGCGAACAGCAGAUUCACGAACACGAACAGAUCCUUGAAUUGAAAGGGGAGCAGGCGUGUGCCGACGUGCGAUGUCGCGUGGUCAACGCCCGCUCCUGAUUUUCUUUUUUCCUUUUUCUGUCCGGGUUUUGAAUAUUUCGCAAUUUCUUCGCAUUGA